GAGCAGAGAGAGGAGAGAGAAAGCGGGAGCAGAGAGAGGAGAGAGAAAGAGGGAGCAGAGGAGCGAGAAAGAGGGAGCAGAGAGAGGAGAGAGAAAGAGGGAGCAGAGAGAGGAGAGAGAAAGAUAGAGCAGAGAGGAGAGAGAAAUAGAGAGCAGAGAGGAGAGAGAAAUAGAGAGCAGAGAGAGGAGAGAGAAAGAGAGAGCAGAGAGAGGAGAGAGAAAGAGGAGAGAGCAGAGAGAGGAGAAAGAAAGAGAGAGCAGAGAGGAGAGAGAAAGAGAGAGCAGAGAGAGGAAAGAGAAAGAGAGAGCAGAGAGAGGAGAGAGAAAGAGAGAGCAGAGAGAGGAGAGAGAAAGAGGGAGCAGAGAGAGGAGAGAGAAAGAGAGAGCAGAGAGAGGAGAGAGAAAGAUAGAGCAGAGAGGAGAGAGAAAUAGAGAGCAGAGAGAGCAGAGAGAGGAGAGAGAAAGAGGGAGCAGAGAGAGGAGAGAGAAAGAGGGAGCAGAGGAGCGAGAAAGAGGGAGCAGAGAGAGGAGAGAGAAAGAGGGAGCAGAGAGAGGAGAGAGAAAGAUAGAGGAGAGAGAAAUAGAGAGCAGACAGAGAGAGAAAGAGAGAGCAGAGAGAGGAGAGAGAAAGAUAGAGGAGAGAGAAAUAGAGAGCAGACAGAGAGAGAAAGAGGGAGCAGAGAGAGGAGAGAGAAAGAGAGGAGAAAGAAAGAGAGAGCAGAGAGAAAGAGAGAGCAGAGAGAGAAGAGAGAAAGAGGGAGCAGAGAGAGGAGAGAGAAAGAGAGAGCAGAGAGAGGAGAGAGAGGAGAGAGAAAGAGAUAGCAGAGAGAGGAGAGAGAAAGAGAGGGAGCAGAGAGAAGGGGGAAGAGAGAAAGAGGGAGCAGAGAGAGGAGAGAUAAAAAGAGGAGAGAGAAAGAGAGCAGAGAGCGGAGAGAGCAGAGAGAGGAGAGAGAAAGAUGGAAAGAAAGGGAGAAAGCUGCAGGGUCAACUGGGAUCUCUGUCAGGAUUUAGAGCUUUUCUUCAGGAGAGGAAAAGGAUUAAACUACAGAGGAACUCCCUCCAGCGUCCCUCGUCACUGCACUGUCUCUCCACCCUAAUAUCUCUGGCUUUACCCUGUAAAUAUACGCCAUGCCAGAUAAGAGCCGUAUAGUAUGGAAGACAUUUCCCUGCUGCGUCUCCUACUGCCUGCAGGCUGUGAGAGUAGUGGGCCCUAUAGUGAGGGGGCGUCAGUAAUAUUCUAGCUCCCUGCUUGUCCAGUUCAUUUUACUCUGUCAAUCUGAGCAUCUCCUCCACAGCGCUGCCACAGUCAUUACAUAAGACAGAACGUUUUCCAGUGUAACAGUUUACAAUCUCCUUCAGUCUGGUGGGAGCAGGCCCGGAGACCUAGGGCCUCCUAGCUUACGCUGCUAGUCAUAACACCUCCAUGAGAUCUCACAGGAAGAAAAUACACUACCUCUCAGUGGAAUAGACAUGUCUUUUCUCUCACAGAUGAAGCUCCUAGGUAAGGUCUGUGAGACCGAGAGGAUCUCUUUGUGCCGUACUGUGUAUGUACACGUGUGCGUGUGUGUCGGGGUCUCUGUUACGGAAAUGUGGGGCCGGAAAUAUUACCGGCAACAAUUUCACUUACCAGACAUUUGAGAAAUUUACCGGACCCAUAUUCAUUGGUGUGUGAGACAGAAAGAGUGUGUGUGAG
Molecule: long non-coding RNA, 1693 nt
Organism: Oncorhynchus tshawytscha (Chinook salmon)
Lineage: Eukaryota; Metazoa; Chordata; Actinopteri; Salmoniformes; Salmonidae
Source: Ensembl